This 71-nucleotide transfer RNA is filed under the name Candidatus Opitulatrix roisinitermitis. RNAcentral describes it as "tRNA-Gly". It matches the Rfam family "tRNA". From Rfam's summary of the family: Transfer RNA (tRNA) molecules are approximately 80 nucleotides in length. Their secondary structure includes four short double-helical elements and three loops (D, anti-codon, and T loops). Further hydrogen bonds mediate the characteristic L-shaped molecular structure. tRNAs have two regions of fundamental functional importance: the anti-codon, which is responsible for specific mRNA codon recognition, and the 3' end, to which the tRNAs corresponding amino acid is attached (by aminoacyl-tRNA synthetases). tRNAs cope with the degeneracy of the genetic code in two manners: having more than one tRNA (with a specific anti-codon) for a particular amino acid; and 'wobble' base-pairing, i.e. permitting non-standard base-pairing at the 3rd anti-codon position. Lineage: Bacteria; Bacillati; Actinomycetota; Actinomycetes; Bifidobacteriales; Bifidobacteriaceae. The record is from RNAcentral.
GCGAAUGUAGUUCAAUGGUAGAAUAUCAGCCUUCCAAGCUGAUUAUGCGGGUUCGAUUCCCGUCAUUCGCU